RNAcentral lists this ribosomal RNA (270 nucleotides) under uncultured archaeon. RNAcentral describes it as "partial 16S ribosomal RNA". It matches the Rfam family "Archaeal small subunit ribosomal RNA", at positions 477 to 747 of the family's 1478-position model. The record is from RNAcentral.
CAGCACCUCAAGUGGUCAGGAUGAUUAUUGGGCCUAAAGCAUCCGUAGCCUGCUUUGUCAGUUUUCGGUUAAAUCCAUACGCUCAACGUAUGGGCUGCCGGGAAUACUGCAAAGCUAGGGAGUGGGAGAGGUAGACGGUACUCGGUAGGAAGGGGUAAAAUCCUUUGAUCUAUUGAUGACCACCUGUGGCGAAGGCGGUCUACCAGAACACGUCCGACGGUGAGGGAUGAAAGCUGGGGGAGCAGACCGGAUUAGAUACCCGAGUAGUCC